GACGAACCGUGCGAACGUUGUUCGGAAUCACUGGGCUUAAAGGGCGCGUAGGCGGGUCAGCCAGUCCGGGGUGAAAUCCUUCGGCUUAACCGGAGAACUGCCUCGGAGACGACUGAUCUGGAGGGAGGUAGGGGUCGCUGGAACUUCCGGUGGAGCGGUGAAAUGCGUUGAUAUCGGAAGGAACGCCGGUGGCGAAAGCGAGCGACUGGACCUUUACUGACGCUGAGGCGCG
RNAcentral lists this ribosomal RNA (232 nucleotides) under uncultured bacterium. RNAcentral's name for it is "partial 16S ribosomal RNA". It matches the Rfam family "Bacterial small subunit ribosomal RNA", at positions 524 to 755 of the family's 1533-position model. The record is from RNAcentral.